AAAUUGAAGAGUUUGAUCAUGGCUCAGAUUGAACGCUGGCGGCAGGCCUAACACAUGCAAGUCGAGCGGAAACGAGUUAUCAGAACCUUCGGGGGACGAUAGCGGCGUCGAGCGGCGGACGGGUGAGUAAUGCCUAGGAAAUUGCCCUGAUGUGGGGGAUAACCAUUGGAAACGAUGGCUAAUACCGCAUGAUGCCUACGGGCCAAAGAGGGGGACCUUCGGGCCUCUCGCGUCAGGAUAUGCCUAGG
This 248-nucleotide ribosomal RNA is filed under the name Vibrio parahaemolyticus. Its description in RNAcentral is "partial 16S ribosomal RNA". It matches the Rfam family "Bacterial small subunit ribosomal RNA", at positions 1 to 235 of the family's 1533-position model. Lineage: Bacteria; Pseudomonadati; Pseudomonadota; Gammaproteobacteria; Vibrionales; Vibrionaceae. The record is from RNAcentral.